ACUGAUAUUCUUGGUAUUUUGGGUUGGGGUUUCUUUCCUCACUGGUAUUUUUGGUAUUUUGGGUUGUGAAAUUUUCCUUUAAAAACCCCUAUUCCCAGCCAUUCAGGGUCGAAACUCCUCUACCCCUGUGUGGGAUAUGAGUCUCUGCCCCAUCGCUCUGGUUCCUGUCAAUAAACCUCGUGCGAUUGCAGCAAGGACGAUCUCUCGUACUGAUGAUAACAUGAAGUAAAGUGACAGUAGUGGGAAUGAAACCCUCCAGCGCUGAGACAAGAGGAUGGUGCUGAACACACAGAUUUUGAAAUGUCUCCUGCUUCAAUAUGCUUUAUUCCUUCUACAAAGGAGCCAGAAAAGAAGCCAGAACCUGGAAGCAAUCUAGAUGCUCCUCAACUGAGGAAUGGAUGGAGAAAAUGUGCUACAUUUACACAAUGGAAUACUACUCAGCAGGAAAAAAAAAAUGGAAUCUUGAAAUUCGAAGGAAAAUGGAUGGAACUAGAAGAAACCAUUCUGAGCUCAGUAACCCAAUCACAAAAAGACAAAUAUGCCUUCAUCCAGCAGCUGGUGAAAGUAGAAGCAGACACCCACAGCUAAUCACUGAACUGAACUGGAAUCCAGUUGAAGAGAAGGAGGAGUGAUGAGCAAAGGGGUCCAGACCAGGCUGAUGAAACCCACAGAAACAGCUGACCUGAACAAGUGAGAACUCUUUGUCCCCAGACUGAUAGCUGGGAAAC
Molecule: long non-coding RNA, 728 nt
Filed under: Cricetulus griseus (Chinese hamster)
Lineage: Eukaryota; Metazoa; Chordata; Mammalia; Rodentia; Cricetidae
Description: lncRNA (ENSCGRG00015029702.1)
Source: RNAcentral